UCUGACGGAGCAACGCCGCGUGAGUGAUGAAGGUUUUCGGAUCGUAAAACUCUGUUGUUAGGGAAGAACAAGUACCGUUCGAAUAGGGCGGUACCUUGACGGUACCUAACCAGAAAGCCACGGCUAACUACGUGCCAGCAGCCGCGGUAAUACGUAGGUGGCAAGCGUUGUCCGGAAUUAUUGGGCGUAAAGCGCGCGCAGGCGGUUUCUUAAGUCUGAUGUGAAAGCCCCCGGCUCAACCGGGGAGGGUCAUUGGAAACUGGGGAACUUGAGUGCAGAAGAGGAGAGUGGAAUUCCACGUGUAGCGGUGAAAUGCGUAGAGAUGUGGAGGAACACCAGUGGCGAAGGCGACUCUCUGGUCUGUAACUGACGCUGAGGCGCGAAAGCGUGGGGAGCGAACAGGAUUAGAUACCCUGGUAGUCCACGCCGUAAACGAUGAGUGCUAAGUGUUAGAGGGUUUCCGCCCUUUAGUGCUGCAGCAAACGCAUUAAGCACUCCGCCUGGGGAGUACGGUCGCAAGACUGAAACUCAAAGGAAUUGACGGGGGCCCGCACAAGCGGUGGAGCAUGUGGUUUAAUUCGAAGCAACGCGAAGAACCUUACCAGGUCUUGACAUCCUCUGACAACCCUAGAGAUAGGGCUUCCCCUUCGGGGGCAGAGUGACAGGUGGUGCAUGGUUGUCGUCAGCUCGUGUCGUGAGAUGUUGGGUUAAGUCCCGCAACGAGCGCAACCCUUGAUCUUAGUUGCCAGCAUUCAGUUGGGCACUCUAAGGUGACUGCCGGUGACAAACCGGAGGAAGGUGGGGAUGACGUCAAAUCAUCAUGCCCCUUAUGACCUGGGCUACACACGUGCUACAAUGGGCAGAAACAAAGGGCAGCGAAGCCGCGGAGGCUAAGCCCAAUCCCACAAAUCUGUUCUCAGUUCGGGAUCGCAGUCUGCAACUCGACUGCGUGAAGCUGGAAUCGCUAG
RNAcentral lists this ribosomal RNA (968 nucleotides) under Bacillus licheniformis. RNAcentral describes it as "bacterial SSU rRNA". It matches the Rfam family "Bacterial small subunit ribosomal RNA", at positions 382 to 1338 of the family's 1533-position model. Lineage: Bacteria; Bacillati; Bacillota; Bacilli; Caryophanales; Bacillaceae. The record is from RNAcentral.